This 468-nucleotide long non-coding RNA is filed under the name Ananas comosus (pineapple). RNAcentral describes it as "long non-coding RNA (ACOM_LNC023067)". Lineage: Eukaryota; Viridiplantae; Streptophyta; Magnoliopsida; Poales; Bromeliaceae. The record is from RNAcentral.
AUUAUAAGGAAGCAUUUUGAGGGUUUUUAAAAAAUUCUAUCAUAUAGAGGUUUUUGCGCAAAGAUACAAUCUAUUUCUGUUCUCCACUAAGAGUUCGUUUAGCAUUAAGGCUCAUCUAAUGCUAAUAGGUAAAAUAAAAUUGGACUGUAUUUUUUAGUGGGAUAAUAGAAAAAUAUUAUAAUCGACUCAUUAUACGCAACCAGAUAUUAUCUACAAAAACAAACAUAAUAUUUUCCUUAUGUACUUUUCUUAUUGCAUAUAACACAACCUCUUCGUAAUUUCAAACAUAGCCUAAAUAGUUUCAUAACUAUUCUCUCUAUCCAUACACAACCUCUUCGUAACUUCAAAUAUAGCCUAAAUAGUUUCAUAACUAUUCUCUCUAUCCAUAGAGUAAAAAUGUACAGAUACCGCCUCAACUAUAGGCCACUCUAAAAGACUUCGUUUUGUCAAAUUUUUAAUCAGUACAUC